AUUGAACGCUGGCGGCAUGCCUUACACAUGCAAGUCGAACGGUAACGGGCCUUCGGGUGCCGACGAGUGGCGAACGGGUGAGUAAUACAUCGGAACGUGCCCGAUCGUGGGGGAUAACGAGGCGAAAGCUUUGCUAAUACCGCAUACGAUCUACGGAUGAAAGCAGGGGACCGCAAGGCCUUGCGCGGACGGAGCGGCCGAUGGCAGAUUAGGUAGUUGGUGGGAUAAAAGCUUACCAAGCCGACGAUCUGUAGCUGGUCUGAGAGGAUGAUCAGCCACACUGGGACUGAGACACGGCCCAGACCCCUACGGGAGGCAGCAGUGGGAAUUUUGGGAAAAGGGGCGAAAGCCUGAUCCAGCCAGGCCGCGUGCAGGAUGAGGGCCUUCGGGUUGUAAACUGCUUUUGUACGGAACAAAAAGCCUUCUUUUAAAACAGGAGGGUAAGGACGGGACCGAAAAAAAAAGCACCGGCUAAUUACGG
This 481-nucleotide ribosomal RNA is filed under the name uncultured bacterium. RNAcentral's name for it is "partial 16S ribosomal RNA". It matches the Rfam family "Bacterial small subunit ribosomal RNA", at positions 29 to 506 of the family's 1533-position model. The record is from RNAcentral.